UUGGGAUAAGUACUGCAUAAAUUUAGCAAUACAAAACAACUUCUCAAUUUAACAAUCAAAUCAACAAAAAAAAACCCACUAAAAGCAAAGACCAACACAUCUAUAACCUGCAAUUUUGUAACUCAUGAUUGGAAAAUUGUCUUCCAUCUUCAUUUAAAAUCCAUCAAUCAUUGUGCCCAACAAAAAUUUAGAAUUGUUGCUCUGUGAUGAGUGAGUUUUAUA
RNAcentral lists this long non-coding RNA (222 nucleotides) under Panax ginseng (ginseng). RNAcentral describes it as "long non-coding RNA (PGIN_LNC013289)". Lineage: Eukaryota; Viridiplantae; Streptophyta; Magnoliopsida; Apiales; Araliaceae. The record is from RNAcentral.